Molecule: transfer RNA, 74 nt
Filed under: Gammaproteobacteria bacterium
Lineage: Bacteria; Pseudomonadati; Pseudomonadota; Gammaproteobacteria
Description: tRNA-Ser
Rfam family: tRNA
About the family: Transfer RNA (tRNA) molecules are approximately 80 nucleotides in length.
Source: RNAcentral
UUGUGUUUUAGCUCAGUUGGUAGAGCAAUCGCCUGCUAAGCGAUAGGUCACCGGUUCAAGUCCGGUAAUCCAAA